This 296-nucleotide unclassified non-coding RNA is filed under the name Hevea brasiliensis (rubber tree). The record is from RNAcentral. Lineage: Eukaryota; Viridiplantae; Streptophyta; Magnoliopsida; Malpighiales; Euphorbiaceae.
CCCUGUUCUCGUUUCUGCAAACAUAGCCCUUAGAACUGAAACAUCGUAAUAGAGUGCAGGGACGACCAACAGCAUUGCUAAACCAUAGGUUGACAUCAUUUUCACAGUGCUGUACUUCAAAUCUCUUUGCGUGCAAUUCAAUUUCUUCUUUUGCACAAGGAUAUGAAUCUGUCCUUAGGUUGAUCUUCAACUUCGCCUUACAUCGAGGUGACUCAACAAGCAUUAGUCCUUGAUUUAGGUCAAUAGAAGUGCUAAUAAAGCACAUUUCAGGAACCUUUUUCUGAGUAAGGAUUUCC